UAGAAUCUAGUAUAGAGGAGGAUGGUAAAAGAGAAGAUCUAAGUAGCCAGAAUUCAGGUUUUGACGGCAAUAAUGCCCCUCAGAAUGCAAUUGGCUUGAAUAACGAAGAUGGAUCAGAAAAGGAUACAAAAACUCACAAGAUCCAGAUAUGGACUGAAAUUAGACCAUCACUCCGAGCAAUUGAAGAUAUGAUGAGUGUUCGUGUAAAGAAAAAGAAA
RNAcentral lists this unclassified non-coding RNA (218 nucleotides) under Hevea brasiliensis (rubber tree). The record is from RNAcentral. Lineage: Eukaryota; Viridiplantae; Streptophyta; Magnoliopsida; Malpighiales; Euphorbiaceae.